AGAGAAUAGAUACCCCGGUAGUCCACGCCGUAAACGAUGGGCACUUGGUGUCGCGGGUAUCGACCCCUGCGGUGCCGAAAGCUAAACGCAUUAAGUGCCCCGCCUGGGGAGUACGGUCGCAAGGCUGAAACUCAAAGGAAAUUGACGGGGGCCCGGCACAAGCGGUGGAGCAUGUGGUUCAAUUCGAAGCAACGCGAAGAACCUUACCUGGGUUUGAAGAUCAGUGGAUCGGGGGCGGAAAAUCCCCCUUCCCCGCAACGGGGCCGCGUGGUUAGGUGCUGCAUGGCUGUCGUCAGCUCGUGUCGUGAGAUGUUGGGUUAAGUCCC
RNAcentral lists this ribosomal RNA (326 nucleotides) under uncultured bacterium. RNAcentral describes it as "bacterial SSU rRNA". It matches the Rfam family "Bacterial small subunit ribosomal RNA", at positions 773 to 1088 of the family's 1533-position model. The record is from RNAcentral.